AAGGGAGACCUAAUUCAGGUAUGAGACGAAAAAAAGUAGUCCCUACCAAGAAUCAAUCCCAAAAGGUCGGAGCGAGGCAAAAUUGGCUUUCAAACUAGGUUCUGGGUUCACAUAAGACCUGAAUCAGGAACAAGGGCUAUUAGCUCAGGUGGUUAGAGCGCACCCCUGAUAAGGGUGAGGUCCCUGGUUCGAGUCCAGGAUGGCCCACCUGCACAGGUGGCAAAAACAAAGAAAAGAAGCUCCGAAUCAGCACCUUAUCUUACUCAUAUAGUAAGAGAGAAUGCUGGCUCUGAGUUCAGAGUCCAGAGGAACCUUGAAAACUGCAUAGAGCUAGGUGAAAAAGCCAAAAAAGAAGACCGCAAGGUCAAGCUAAUAAGGGCUAACGGUGGAUACCUAGGCAC
Molecule: transfer RNA, 401 nt
Filed under: uncultured Microcystis sp.
Lineage: Bacteria; Bacillati; Cyanobacteriota; Cyanophyceae; Chroococcales; Microcystaceae
Description: bacterial LSU rRNA
Rfam family: tRNA (bases 134-207)
Source: RNAcentral